GUUAUAUUUGGCAGGGAUAUUUUGCUGGAGGUCCGUCCCUACUUGAGGUUUUCUAAAGUCAACAGAAGCACAAAACCACAGAAUUGUAGUGACUCUCAUCGCUGGAUUUCAGCAGAAGUGUGGCACAUCCCAGGAUAAAUUCCACCUCGGUGAAAGCACAGCCCUCAGGAUUCCCUAAGGUUACUCUUGAACAUGUGGAGAUCAGGCUCCAGCUCUUCCUGUUAGAAGGAAAUUUCCUGGCCACCUCAACACAUGCACAUCACAUUGCAGCACGGCAGCUGGCUGACCCAUUCCUACCUACCCUCACCCAUCCUAUCCAUUCUCAAACUCUUACUCCCCACUUAAGAAUGAGACUUCCACUGUCAUCCCACUCCCUCCAUAUUGUCGUGCCAUGGUUGGAACAACAGCAGACAAUGCUUUAUCAUUCUCCUCAUCCGUUGAAAGGAUUUGCGCAUGGAAGAAGACAGAAGAAAAAGAAAAUUUCCUUUACCCUAUAUUAAAAAAAAAAAAUCACUGAGUAUUGAGGCAAUCAUUUUAGUGUGUUCCAGCACUUUGCUGCAAAAAAAUCAUCAAAUUGAUGCAUUCUGCUGAUUGAAUGAGGACCAAAUCCUUUGGGAAGAAAUAGGGAAAACAAAACAGGUAAUCCUGUGGUCAGAUACUGCAUAUUUGGGGUGUUUUGCAGUUCUAGAAUAUUUGACUUUUUUGUCAGGAUUUAUCAGUCUUUAAGAUAGUUUUUACAUGCUGUAUUUAUAACUCUGGCUUGUGCAUGUUCUUUGUUUCUCCUACCUUGUGUCUGUCUUAGAUGUUGCUUUACAUCUACAUUAAGACUGAAAGCUCUCAGGAUAUGAAAAUUAUCUUCCUUUAAGUAUGAAAAGCAACUAGCAUUUGACAAUAUCAUAACUGUUGUAAUAACAAUAACCUGAGUUACCAUUUUAAGUCACAAAAGGUCACUGCUUAAGGAGACAGGAGACAUAAGAAGGUAUGUUCUUAAGGAAAACUCUUUUGGUAUUAAACAUCUCAGCAUUUAUAAGGGUGUAAAACAUUUUUCCCUGGAUGUGUUUAAAAGCUGUUUGGAUGUGGUACUCAGGGAUAUGAUUUUGAUGUGGGUUGUUAGAGUAUGGCUAAGUUGCAAUUGGACUUGCUGUUCUUCAAGGUUGUUUCCAACCUGAGCAGUUCUAUGAUUUCAAGAAGCUGAUCUUACAGCUGAGUAAUUGCUAGCUAUUUUACAGAUUGUCUGUAUUUGGCAAGAGAAAAUGUAGGAAAUAAGUUCCUUCCACUUCGCUGGCUAUUGCUGGUGUAACUUGUCCUACAGGAGUAGGCAUGGUGACAGAAAGAAACUCAAAGGGAAGAAUCUGAUCAAACUUCUCUGGAGUAUGUAAGUAUUUCAAAUCUAUUGCAUCUGAAAAUACUGUGUUAGGCAGGCAUCAAGCAAUAAAACAUCUGACAAAAGCUUUCUAAUUACUGUAAAGGUGAGCUUCCCACUGAGCUUUCAUCAAAGUUUUAACCCAAACAAUGAUAAUCAACAGAGAUGGUGACAAAUGGAAAGGAAGUGAGGAAGAAUAGUGACAUUUGGUGCUGAACCAUAUGUGCGUGGUUUGAAAGACAUGACUGAAUUGUUUUUGGUGCUCUAUUAUUCUGACAUUUAGAAUGAGGCAAGUUUCCAUUUCCAUUAAUGUACUGCCAACUCAAAGGGGAACUGUCGCAAAUUUGAGACUAAAGAAAGCUGUUCCUCAAACUUCUCUUGAGCAUAAUCAGUGCCCUUGCUAGGCAACAGUGUAGUAUCACAAUGUAUAAUCUAAAUGAUUCUUACAGCUUCUGCUUCUUAAAUACAAGAAUGUGUUUUAUACCCCACGAUGAUAUGGCAUCACUUUGAUAAAAGAUGGUGGGUUUAUCUAUGAAUGAAGAGCAACCAGUGCAAAGGAUCUCUGUUCAUCAAGAUUUUUUAGUACUAACCUCUCAAGUAAAGCCACUGAGGAAAGUGACCCGGGUAGAGGACAU
Lagopus muta (rock ptarmigan) is the source of this 1998-nucleotide long non-coding RNA. RefSeq lists it as uncharacterized. The transcript has 4 exons. The record is from RefSeq and is a predicted model, not a curated record. NCBI's taxonomy places the organism in Eukaryota, Metazoa, Chordata, Aves, Galliformes, Phasianidae.